CUCCUUUGUUGAUAUUAUCUGACAUCCCUGCAUGAUAAUUAGGGUUGCUCUUGUUCUGUUCUCUCUCCUAGCAUACAGUACACGUAAUCAAAAUAGUGCUUGCAUAUAUUCAGUGGCAGAGAAGGGAUCUCUGGGUAUUUCUCUCUGCCUGGAUCUCUCUCCCGUUUUUAUCCUACAGAUCAAUUGGGGCUCGGCACACAACCAGUCUGAAUAAAAAACAGAGAUGAAGAUGUAUCGUGGUGCAACAGACACGAGAGCCAUUGCGCUGACACAAGAGCUCCGGCCGGGCUUUGUCGCAACGGACAAAGGCUGCAAUCGAUAUGCAGCAAUAACUUCUGAUCGUGGAGAACGCUGUAGGGAACGCUGAAACUCAACAUGCAAUCUACCAUGAUAACCCUGUGGAUUUACACAACAGCAACAUAUUAGAUCACCUCACCCUGACUACACUUCUCAAACCAUCCGUUUCCCCCAAAACCCACCUCCUUGUCUUCACCCCUUCCAUCCUCCAAGUCCUCGCCUCCCAUCUGAAGUCUUUCCCACCAGCUCCUGUCCUGCCAUCAUUCCUGGAUGGUUGUGUGCAGUGAUGCCAGAACUAAUAUACCCCCUUUAGAGGGACUCCGGCCCAGACGUGUCAUAAACAGCACGGCUUUCAGGGGGGUUGUCAACGCCGUACUGUACCAAGCAGGCACAAUGCACGUUGCCGUCUGUCACCAAUAUGUGUCUACUGUGUAUAGGCUACAUGCUGACGUUAACAUUUAAUGCUCUUUGGGAAAAAGGACUGACAUACAUAAUGUGCAGUGCAGGCAGUUUUUAAUAAUGCAUGGGCGUUUGUGUCUGAUGGAUUUAUAUUCCAGUUUGAAAUGUUUUGGCUUCUGUAUCGGGAUAGGUCUGUAUUUGUUUUCAGUUUAAAAUAUGUAAAUGUUCAUUUACCGCUUAUGAUUUCAGAAAUGUUUAGAAAUGUUUUGCAUAGGUAAACGUAACAUUACAAAGUCCAAAUGGUACAUUUGGACUGAAACAUAAUUUAUUAUGUAAAUGUCUCUGCCUGUCAUCCCCCUGUCCUUAACGUUUCCUAAAAAAAGAUAUAUUCAUUUCACAAAAUUGUGUCCGUAGAUUCUCUAUACUGUAGAUUAUCUGCUGACUCUCAGUAAUAUUUCAACAAUCUACUAACCCUUACCCUAUACUUAACAUUUAUCCUAAGACUAGCCUUAGACCUUACCCUAAACCUUAUUCAAAACAUAACCCUAAACUUAGCUGGCAGUUGCGUAUCAACAGAUGUGUGUUGAUUGUAUUGCUGUCUAUAGCAUUAACAGAUGAGAAUUGGAACUCAAA
Molecule: long non-coding RNA, 1329 nt
Organism: Esox lucius (northern pike)
Lineage: Eukaryota; Metazoa; Chordata; Actinopteri; Esociformes; Esocidae
Exons: 3
Source: RefSeq, a predicted model, not a curated record